GAUGAACGCUAGCGACAGGCCUAACGGAUGGGGAUGCGUGACAUUAGAUAGUAGGCGGGUAACGGCCCACCUAGUCUACGAUGUCUAGGGGUUCUGAGAGGAAGGUCCCCCACACUGGAACUGAGACACGGUCCAGACUCCUACGGGAGGCAGCAGUGAGGAAUAUUGGUCAAUGGUCGGAAGACUGAACCAGCCAAGUAGCGUGAAGGAUGAAGGUUCUAUGGAUUGUAAACUUCUUUAUACGGGAAUAAAACCUCCCACGUGUGGGAGCUUGUAUGUACCGUAUGAAUAAGCAUCGGCUAACUCCGUG
This 310-nucleotide ribosomal RNA is filed under the name uncultured bacterium. RNAcentral's name for it is "bacterial SSU rRNA". It matches the Rfam family "Bacterial small subunit ribosomal RNA", at positions 199 to 507 of the family's 1533-position model. The record is from RNAcentral.